AGGACGAACGCUGGCGGCGUGCUUAACACAUGCAAGUCGAGCGGAAAGGCCCUUCGGGGUACUCGAGCGGCGAACGGGUGAGUAACACGUGAGCAACCUGCCCUUGGCUCUGGGAUAGCCUCCGGGAAAACGGGGAUUAAUACCGGACAUUCACUUUUCUCCUGCAUGGGUGAUGGUGGUAAAGUUUUUCGGCCAGGGAGGGGCUCGCGGCCUAUCAGCUUGUUGGCGGGGUAACGGCCCACCAAGGCGACG
Molecule: ribosomal RNA, 252 nt
Filed under: uncultured bacterium
Lineage: Bacteria
Description: partial small subunit ribosomal RNA
Rfam family: Bacterial small subunit ribosomal RNA
Source: RNAcentral